UGCCUACGGGGGGCAGCAGUGGGGAAUAUUGGACAAUGGGCGCAAGCCUGAUCCAGCCAUGCCGCGUGAGUGAUGAAGGCCUUAGGGUUGUAAAGCUCUUUCGGCGGGGAAGAUAAUGACGGUACCCGCAGAAGAAGCCCCGGCUAACUUCGUGCCAGCAGCCGCGGUAAUACGAAGGGGGUUAGCGUUGCUCGGAAUCACUGGGCGUAAAGCGCACGUAGGCGGGUUGCUAAGUCAGGGGUGAAAUCCUGGAGCUCAACUCCAGAACUGCCUUUGAUACUGGCGACCUUGAGUCCGGGAGAGGUGAGUGGAACUGCGAGUGUAGAGGUGAAAUUCGUAGAUAUUCGCAAGAACACCAGUGGCGAAGGCGGCUCACUGGCCCGGUACUGACGCUGAGGUGCGAAAGCGUGGGGAGCAAACAGGAUUAGAUACCCGAGUAGUC
Molecule: ribosomal RNA, 442 nt
Filed under: uncultured Alphaproteobacteria bacterium
Lineage: Bacteria; Pseudomonadati; Pseudomonadota; Alphaproteobacteria
Description: bacterial SSU rRNA
Rfam family: Bacterial small subunit ribosomal RNA
Source: RNAcentral